RNAcentral lists this unclassified non-coding RNA (1823 nucleotides) under Drosophila virilis. Its description in RNAcentral is "GJ22995". Lineage: Eukaryota; Metazoa; Arthropoda; Insecta; Diptera; Drosophilidae. The record is from RNAcentral.
AAAAAGUAUCAUUCAGUAAAAGUCUGAAACAAUUUUAUUGUGCCAACCCUUUAUAGGACAAUAACAAGAGCCCAGCUUAUGCGGUCUUUAUGGACAUUACUUUAUAUAGGGAUUGCUCUAAUCCUAUGCCAGAUAAAGGCCAAAGCCGCAAUGGAGCAGAGCCACAGCACCUCUGUCGCGGGUAUGGUGAAGUUGGUCCUGCUGGAGGCCAAGCUCAUUGAGAAUCUCAGCAGCUAUGCGGAUGAGCUCGAGAAGAAAUUGAAUAUAUUGAAAAGGGUCGUUCCACUAUUGCAAGAGAAAAGCAAUAAGGCCAUGAGUCAAAUGGAGCAAUAUGUGUCGAAUCCAAUAAACGCAUUUUCUCUGAUACGUCGGUUACAUAAGGAUUGGAAUAAAUGGAAGUUAUUCAUGGAGGAGCCACUGGGCUCAUCGCAGGUGGCUUAUGUAAAUGCACACGAAUCCCAGCUGCCGAGCCAAACUGAUUUGGAUGAGACAUGCCAAGGCUUGCACCGGCUAUAUGAUGUGUACAACCUGACGGUGAAGGACAUCGCCAGGGGGCUAAUUAACGGGAAGCAGUACGACACCAGUCUAGGAGCCUUGGAUACCUACGCGAUGGGCAAGUACCUGGACCAGAAUCGAAUUCAAGAUUUGGCCAUGGAGUGGUUUGCGGAGACAGGCAAGUUGCUAAUGGAGCACACACUCCCAAUACCAAUGGGAGGUGAACGUCAACAAGUGCUGCAACUCUUUGCGAGAGCAUUUAUCAAACAGAAGCAUUACACAAUCGCGCUGCCCCUCUUGGACCACGCUCUGAUGAAGGGCAACAAAACAAACAAUUCAGAUCUGUUAAAUGAGAGGGCUCAAAUCGAGGAAUUGGUGGGAACGGCGCCCAAAUUAAGGCCAAGCAUUAGAUAUACGACUGAUUACGCUAGAGGAUGCCGCGGUCAAUUCGUGCAACAAACCAACUUGAUUUGCAAGUACAAGUUCAGGCCUUCGCCGUUUCUCCGCCUGGCACCGCUCAAAAUGGAGGUUCUGGUGGUUAAACCAUUUAUAGUGGCCUUUCACGACGUGCUGUCACCACAUGAAAUAGGCGAACUGCAACAGCUCGCAAUGCCGCUUUUAAAGCGCACAACCGUAUAUGAUUCAAAUGCUGGCCUUCAUGGAUCUGUCAAAGGCACACGGACCUCAAAGGGUAUUUGGCUUUCUCGCAGCCAUAAUAACCUGACAAAGCGGAUUGGUAGACGCAUUUCGGAUAUGACUGGAUUUCAUUUAGAAGGCUCAACCUCACUACAAGUCAUGAACUACGGCUUGAGUGGGCACUACGCUCUGCAUACCGAUUACUUCAAUACCGCAGAGCUUAUUGCACCAGAGAGUCCGACGGGUGAUCGCAUUGCUACGGUUCUGUUCUAUCUAAGUGAUGUAGAACAAGGUGGUGACACUGUGUUCCCUCGCAUUGAGCAGGCUUUCAAGCCAGAGCGCGGAAAGGCUCUUCUCUGGUACAAUUUGCAUCGCAAUGGAACAGGCGAUAAGAGAACGGAGCAUGGCGCCUGUCCAGUGCUAGUGGGUUCCAAGUGGAUAAUGACCCAAUGGAUAAACGAACGGCCGCAGCUCUUUGCUCGACCUUGUCUCCGGGAGAGCACCAAAUGAAUUUGCCUGAUGUUCUAAAACAACUUUUCAUCAUUUCAAACUUUUAAACUGCCAAUAAACAUAUCGUUUUGUGCAAGUUUUCAGCCUGAUUGAACUGCUGCUGAUGUCACUUCAAAUGCGGAAACAUGGACACAAACUCCUUUAGUCAUCCGACACAAGCCCGCUACCAGCCCAUCUACCCG